Molecule: long non-coding RNA, 6748 nt
Filed under: Sorghum bicolor (sorghum)
Lineage: Eukaryota; Viridiplantae; Streptophyta; Magnoliopsida; Poales; Poaceae
Description: long non-coding RNA (SBIC_LNC016140)
Source: RNAcentral
ACCCUACUCUAAUAAGGCUUUUGAUAUCUGGAGCUCAUAGGUGGGAGACAGCUAAUAUAUACUUACAAGACAUUUAUUGCAUAGUCAAACCAUGGAUCCAGAAGAACAAGUCAAUAAGUCAAAUCAAGAUGUGCAUGUGUGGCGAAUGAAUGGUGAUAACAACGGUGAAAGUCUAAUUCUACUUAUGCUCUUUUGAGGGGAUACAUACCUUUCUUGCUCUUUUGAAACUUUUUGAGGAGAAUGAGAUGCUCUAUAUUUUCUUUUUCUCUUCUCUCAGGUGGGUAUCUUGUACCCCUAAUUCUACUGUCAGACACUUGUCCAUUUUUACCUCUCGUCUCACUUUUUCUUUUCUUCGAGGUUCCGGGCACUUGCCCCUUUUUAUUUCCUCGUAUCUUUUUUUUAAGAGCACUCAUCUCAUGAGAUAAUAUAGCAAGUGGUAGUAACCAAGAUAACUUGAGCAUUUAUUUUACAGGGAAAAAACAAAAAUGUUUUUGGCUAUUCUCUUCCGGAUUAGGAGUAGAAUAUUUUUGGGUGAUUCUGGAGAUGGAAAUGGGUGGAUAUAUGUGGACGCGUACUUCCGGAGUAGAAGCAGCAUGUGUGAGUGAACGUGCAAGUGAAUCUUGAUUUAACCACAUGACAAGCUCCUAAGGGUCUACACAGCUUGACCACACUCAAUGCUCAUAAGCAGUAAAAUAUAAAUGUGUGGCUCAAAGUCUAGCAAGCAUGUAUAUGGUUGUGGUAGGAAUUUAAACUCUCAUCAUACAGGAACUCAUCAUGCAACAUUUUAAAGAUUUUCAAAGAUAAAAUUCUCCAGAAUUCUAGCAUCUCUAAGAACAGAUAAACAACAGCUCAACCUUCCCAUAUCAUAUCCGUUAACGACUUAGACUUGAGAUCAAGUACUCUUCACACAAGUUCAGGUUUAGAGCAAAUCUUAAUUAAUAACAGUCAUGCCUAAACUUGAAAGAGAUUUCAAUUUUGAGAACUAGUCAUGGUAGAGCAACUAUUCAUCAUUUUCCAUGUGAGAGCUUAUCAUGAGGGUUCAUAGCAAACUUUAUUUAUUUAUUUAUUUAGCAAGCUAAGUAAAGAUAUAUAUAUAUAUAAGCACAAAAUCUUUAUUUGGGUUUUUAUGAUUAUGCAUCUUUUUAUUAUUUGAGUAAAAUAUAAACAUGAGUAGAGCACUUAGCUGGAUAAAUGGGGUUGCUCUCCCCCAAGCUGGGUUUUGACGUAAUUCCUUCUGAUGUAGCUAGCAGGUGGUGGAGGUGUAUUUGAAUGUCAGCAGCACCCUGACAGCGAUUAGGAUGUCCUCCGUAAGCUAGUCUUCUUUGAUCCUUGAAUUCUGUGAAGCUCAAAUAGACAACAAAGCUUUGUGGAACUAGUUAAGUGUUAGCAUAAAUAUCUAGCCUUUAUCAUGUUGAGCCUCCUCAAUAAAUGUUGCACUCUUUAGUAGGAUCAUAAAUUUAUUUUUAUAGGACAGGAAUAUAUUUAUUUUAUUUUUAUGCCACCACAGUGAAUGUACUUAUGGGUUUUAUGCCAUGAGCAUACUCACAUGGGGCUUACUAUUUUUAACAUUUUUAUUUUCUUUUCAAGAUAGCAUGAACUUGAUUAACUAAGCAAACUAUUUUAAAUAAUUAAAAGGAAAAAGAUAACUACCAAGUUUACCUCUUGGCAAGGCGUUCGGUGUUUUUACGUCCUCCGAACGGGACUCUCCGUUUUCUCAAUCGUCCUGGGAUUCGCUGGAUGGCGUAGUCGGUGGUUCCGGCGGCGCCUCCUCUUCGUGUAUAACAUUCUUCUCUCUACACACCUGACUCGGUGCUACGGUCUCCUUAGGACAGUUCUGUUCAAGUUGUAUGUCUUCAGACAUUACCACUUCUCCUUCGUAGUCUACCCAUCCGUCCUUGAUGAUUUGCCUCCUCUGGUUGCGGUUGCGUCAUCGUCUUCUUGUCCUGACCUGCUUAGAGUCUUCAACUAUAUAGUUAGGGUCAGUAAAAUAGUGACGUACCUUCUCAGAGGGGAAGUGCAUGUGGACUUCUCUGGUUCCAAUGUAUAUGAUUGGUUUAACGGUGUUAAAGAACGGUCUUCCAAGGAUGAUGGGUGGAUCGUACUUGUCUUCAAUCUUUCGAAAUGUCUGAUCUGCCAUCUGGAGCUGAAUGUAUGUCGGUUUCAGGGGCAUGGUUCCGAAUAGGAGCUGAUAAGUGACUGCGGCCAUUAUGUUGACGUUAGAUCCGGUGUCGUAGAGUGUCUUCUGAAAAGAAUAUCCGUUGAUUGUGCAGUCGAUGCUUGGAACACCAGGGUCAUCCUUCUUGGUCAGGAACGGUGACUUGAGUUGACGAUCUUGACCUCCUUGAGCUGCAGUGACCAUCUUAGCUGACUCGGUACACAUUUGCUUGUUCUUGUUCCUCCUGUUGGUCCUCUUCCUUGGUUCAUGUCGGGAUUGCUCUAGGAUUUGUGUAGUCUUGUUUCUUGAAGGAAAACGUCUCCUUCCUCCCCUUGAUGUAGAUACUGAUCUUGGCAGUACUAGCUUAGAUGACAGCUCCCGAGGUGUUCAGAAAUGGCCUCCCUAGGAUGAUGGGUGCCCUCUCAUAAGUACCAGUCUCUAUCUCCACGAAGUCUGCUAGGGCGUACAAGGUACCAACUCGGACACAGAGGUUCUUCAAUAUUCCUUUUGGAAAACUUAGUGUAUGAUCUGCAAGCUGCAAACCCAUGGUUGUUUCUGAUAAAGGAUGUGUAAAGAAUUUUUCAUAGAGUACCCUGGGCAUAAUGUUGACGCUGGAGCCAAAGUCGUAGAGUGCUUCUGGGAAGUCCACCAUGCCGAUGGAGAUUGGGAUGACGGGGCGUCCUGGAUCGCCUCUUGACUAGCAGAAGGUCAGUAAUUACUUCUACCAUGGGGUUACUCCAGUAGUUAUGUCCUCAAGCAUCUUAGGGCAGUGAUUGCCUGAGUGUCCAGUAUCUCCAGUCUGUUUGUGCUCAUAGAUACAAGUUCUUCACUUGGUGGAGUCUGGAAGUUGUAAAACUCCUUCAUAUUUUGCUCGAAGUGUACGUGCUCAUAGAGACAAGGCAGAGAUCAAGUGCAUGGGCUCUGUUGGUGGAAAACACCAACAGAACCAAAAGUGUAUUUCUUCUUCUCUAACCUUAAGCAUAGUGAGCAAGACAAAGUUGAUGGAUAAUAAGAUCAUGACUGUAGCAUUUAAAACAUUUGUCAGAUCAGAUUACUCAACCUUAUGGAAAGAUAAUCUAUCUAGAUUUAUGUUUUGUUUAUAUCUUCCAAAGAUUGAAUGUGCAACAUUUUAGGUUAUAUGAUUAGGAGUGUGCAAUCACAAAGGUGGAAGGACUAAACAUAUUGAAUCGAUUGGGUUGGUUAAUCUAGAGUUGUAAAUCAUACAUGUUUGUCUCUUUUAUUCAUGUGAACGCUAGAGCCAAGGAGAAGCUUAUAAAAGUGAUAGUCAAGUACCUUAAGAUGUUACCUUACUUGAAGAGUGAUGGUACAAUAUUACCUUGUGGAAGCUUUCCUUUCUUAGCGGUUAUGCAUCGUGUUGGUGGCACCCUCCAUGGAUCAUCUCUUGUGAGCUAUGUCUUCCUUGUGUAAAUUGUUAAACUUCAUGUGUGUCUCUCUUUGUCUCCAAUGUGAGUUUAUCUCAGGACUUCCCAAGUUGAUGUUGGAAGUUUUUUUUUCUGCAGGGGUUAGUCUGACAAAAUAUCCCAAUGUCUACACAAGCAGUUUUUAGUUCAAUAACCAAACUAGACUCCAUGUCUAAUUAGAUUAAGGAAGGCUGUUUAACCUAAGCACCAUGCUUAAUUUAAAAACCAAUAGAAGUAUGUACAGUACUUCCAAACUAACACUUACUAGGAUAAACAAAGGUAGCGUGAUGGCUUUUAUAGAGAUCUACUCAAGUGGAGAUGAAGUAGUGUGAUUACUAUUUAACAAAUUGAGCAUGUCUCAAAGGUAGGGACAACCAACAUAGCAACAUGGCAAAUGAUGUUUUUAUAUAAAGUACUCCCCCAAGCUUGAAUUUUGCAAAAUUCAAGUUUGGAUGAAUUUAAUUCAAUGUUGUAUGAUGAUUGGUUGUACAUACCUUGUGCUUGUCAUUCAUCCGAUCUUCUUGCUCCAAUCCUAGAAAGGUUAGUGACAAGAAUACCCGAAGGAAUAUUUUUACAAUUAUUCUUAUAUGCUCAACACACAAGGUAAUGUUGCAAAUAAUUCAAAGCUCAUGUUACGAUCUGAUCAGUGCUUAUUUUAGGACACUAAGCUUGUCCUUGGGAAACCAUUAAUUUAUGUCAGCGAAGUGGUUUCCCCUCCAACUCUGACCUAUAUCAAGAUCAACUCAACGAGAUCUACAAUAUUUAAUAUAGACAUAUGCAUCGACAACCGCCCUUUUAAAGUUUUUAUAAAUAGAAAGGAUGAGGGGGUUGGAGAUCUCGAAUGUGGUGAUGUUGGAGAGACCAAUGGAUUGUGACGAUGUUGCAUAUGAGCAUGGAGUAAAUGAAGUGGCUAUGAAAUAAAUUCCAUGCUCAAUAAUGCUUAGAGUGAAAUCCAUGUGGUAUGGUAAAAAUGAUAAGGUGAGUGUGGUAAAAAAGGAAAAGAAAAAGGAUACACGGACGACUUGGUUCGAAACUAGCACAGCUACCGUUCCCGGCAACGGCGCCAGAAAGCUUGUUGGGUAUUUUAAACGCAAACAGAAAAAUCCGCAAGCGCACGGAUACCGAUGUAGCUUUCACCCGGGAGUAUUCCAGAGUAUCGAUUUUCCACAGAGAACGUGAGUGUACUAAUUAAGAUCCAAGAUCGCCCAAGGAUAACUAUAUAACUAUUUUUGGUGGGAAGAGAGGAAGUUUCCUGAGAGUUCUCUAGUUGAUCUAAGAAUCAAGAAUUAUUUCAAGAUUAUCUAUAUCGGGACAUCAGAACACUAACCACGGAAAGAGAUGAGAAGAGGGCUAGGAAGCUCCGACUACGGUCCUACAAACACCGAUCCGAACGUGGUGGAAUACGUCGACCGUUAGGGCUGUCACUACCCUAAGGCUACCACAACAAUCCGCAGGAUUGGGUGCAAUUCCAGGUAAUUGCAAGACUAAACACCAUGUCUAAUCUAUUAAUUACUACUCUAAUGUUUCAAAGAUUAGAGCACUUGAUGCAAGCGGGAAUCCAAUAAAUAACUUGAAUGUAGAUAAAAGUAAUUAGAGAACUCAGGAGUUAUGAGUUGAAGAACCUAGAGAACGAGGAAGAACGAACCAAUUGCUGCAAAAGUACAAUGUUGAGGAAGAUCCGACAGAUCCGGCUCCUCCUCCUCCGCUCUCCUCUUCUCUCUCCCUAUUUUCUAGAUUACAACUAGAACUAACUAGAACUAGAGGAACUAGAACUAGAACUAGAUGAACUAGAACUAGAUCUAGAUGAACUAGAGGUAGAACUAGAAGAACUAGAGGGAUCCUCUCUACUUGGAUGAAGAAUUGAAACCCUAACUUUGAUUCUGUAGAAGAGGUAUGAUCUCCAGGGGCCAGGGGGUCUGGUUUUAUAGUCCCUUCAAGUGAAUCUGGUCCGUCGGAUCAAACUGACAUUAAUCGCACGGUUUUCCUUGAUCCUUUAGGUCGGUGGAGCAUAAUCCGCGAAACGUGUCCUGAUUGGGCACUGUAGCUGGGCGGGCGCCCAGGAGAGUUGGGCGGGCGCCCUGCCUCCGAGCCCGAUUUCCUUCCCGUUCGUUCCCGUGGCUUCUGGAGUCUUCUAGAUGGUAGAAAAUUGCGCGGCACGUUAAUAUCUCUAUGUAAACACGACGUGUGGGCCUUUCUUCCGUAUUUCCUGAUAACCCCCUGUAGAAAUAGACAAACACCAAAACUUGUGGAAUUCUGUCAGAUAAAACCCUAAGUCUAGGUGUUGGUUGCAUUUGGAUCCUUUUCCAUGAUUAAUUGAUGGUUAAAUAUGAGCAUUAAGGACCGUCAACAAGCUCCCCAAGCUUAACCUUUGCUCGUCCCUGAGCAAAGAUGAAGAAAAUAGUUUCUGCAGUGGUUUCAUAACUUAAAGAUACACAUGCGUUUAAACAAGAUCUCAUCUCUGGUUAGAGUAAACUGUUAAGACUUAAACUUACUCAUUUUACCUUCCACCAUGGGGCUUGCAACCGUCACUUGUGUCUUGAGCAGUUAAAAGAUAGAACAGUCUAGUCAAGCGCCAUGUCUCUAGUUCUUCGAUUAACUAUAACUCUGGUGUUUUUGUAGAUUUUCAAAUAAAACUCAGAGAUUCCUUGUAUGACUCUCUCUAGUCUCUCUUUUGUGGUAUUUCUGGAUCCUUACCAAGGCAGUAAAGGUGUAUGCCUUCUCUCAAAGUAUGUGGUAUUUUUGGUAUAAGGCAUAGUGACAUUGCCUUCUCUCUCACCCUACUCUAAUAAGGCUUUUGAUAUCUGGAGCUCAUAGGUGGGAGACAGCUAAUAUAUACUUACAAGACAUUUAUUGCAUAGUCAAACCAUGGAUCCAGAAGAACAAGUCAAUAAGUCAAAUCAAGAUGUGCAUGUGUGGCGAAUGAAUGGUGAUAACAACGGUGAAAGUCUAAUUCUACUUAUGCUCUUUUGAGGGGAUACAUACCUUUCUUGCUCUUUUGAAACUUUUUGAGGAGAAUGAGAUGCUCUAUAUUUUCUUUUUCUCUUCUCUCAGGUGGGUAUCUUGUACCCCUAAUUCUACUGUCGGACACUUGUCCAUUUUUACCUCUCGUCUCACUUUUUCUUUUCUUCGAGGUUCCGGGCACUUGCCCCUUUUUAUUUCCUCGUAUCUUUUU